RNAcentral lists this ribosomal RNA (427 nucleotides) under uncultured bacterium. Its description in RNAcentral is "partial 16S ribosomal RNA". It matches the Rfam family "Bacterial small subunit ribosomal RNA", at positions 355 to 774 of the family's 1533-position model. The record is from RNAcentral.
UGGGGAAUAUUGCACAAUGGGCGCACGCCUGAUGCAGCCAUGCCGCGUGUAUGAAGAAGGCCUUCGGGUUGUAAAGUACUUUCAGCGAGGAGGAAGGCGGUAAGGUUAAUAACCUUAUCGAUUGACGUUACUCGCAGAAGAAGCACCGGCUAACUCCGUGCCAGCAGCCGCGGGAAUACGGAGGGUGCAAGCGUUAAUCGGAAUUACUGGGCGUAAAGCGCACGCAGGCGGUCUGUCAAGUCGGAUGUGAAAUCCCCGGGCUCAACCUGGGAACUGCAUUCGAAACUGGCAGGCUAGAGUCUUGUAGAGGGGGGUAGAAUUCCAGGUGUAGCGGUGAAAUGCGUAGAGAUCUGGAGGAAUACCGGUGGCGAAGGCGGCCCCCUGGACAAAGACUGACGCUCAGGUGCGAAAGCGUGGGGAGCAAACA